CCCUUAGAUGUUCUGGGCUGCACACGUGCUACACUGGCAGGUUCAGCGAGCUUCAUGCCCUGAUCUGAAAGGAAUGGGAAAUCUUUUCAAAACCUGCCGUGCUUGGGAUAGAUGUUUGCAAUUAUUCAUCUUCAACGAGGAUUGCCUUGUAAGCGCACGUCAUCAGCGUGCAUUGAAUACGGCCCUGUAUUCUGUACACACCGCCCGUCGCUCCCACCGAUUGAAGUUUUCGGUGAGUUGACAGGAGGAUUUUUUUGAAACUGGUUCGCCAGUGGAUUUUAGAUCCAAAUGCCAACGAAUCGAUGGCUUUAGAGGAAGGAGAAGUCGUAACA
RNAcentral lists this ribosomal RNA (332 nucleotides) under uncultured eukaryote. Its description in RNAcentral is "partial 18S ribosomal RNA". It matches the Rfam family "Eukaryotic small subunit ribosomal RNA", at positions 1470 to 1796 of the family's 1831-position model. The record is from RNAcentral.